Molecule: ribosomal RNA, 725 nt
Filed under: uncultured bacterium
Lineage: Bacteria
Description: bacterial SSU rRNA
Rfam family: Bacterial small subunit ribosomal RNA
Source: RNAcentral
ACUGACGCUCAUGCACGAAAGCGUGGGGAGCAAACAGGGUUAGAUACCCUGGUAGUCCACGCCCUAAACGAUGUCAACUGGUUGUUGGGAAUUCACUUUCUCAGUAACGAGGCUAACGCGUGAAGUUGACCGCCUGGGGAGUACGGCCGCAAGGUUAAAACUCAAAGGAAUUGACGGGGACCCGCACAAGCGGUGGAUGAUGUGGUUUAAUUCGAUGCAACGCGAAAAACCUUACCCACCUUUGACAUGUACGGAAGAUCGCAGAGACGCGAUUGUGCUCGAAAGAGAGCCGUAACACAGGUGCUGCAUGGCUGUCGUCAGCUCGUGUCGUGAGAUGUUGGGUUAAGUCCCGCAACGAGCGCAACCCUUGUCAUUAGUUGCUACAUUCAGUUGGGCACUCUAAUGAGACUGCCGGUGACAAACCGGGGGAAGGUGGGGAUGACGUCAAGUCCUCAUGGCCCUGAUAGGUGGGGCUACACACGUCAUACAAUGGCUGGUACAAAGGGUUGCCAACCCGCGAGGGGGAGCCAAUCCCACAAAGCCAGUCGUAGUCCGGAUCGUAGUCUGCAACUCGACUACGUGAUGUCGGAAUCGCUAGUAAUCGUGGAUCAGAAUGUCACGGUGAAUACGUACCCGGGUCUUGUACACACCGCCCGUCACACCAUGGGAGCGGGUUCUGCCAGAAGUAGGUAGCCUAACCGUAAGGAGGGCGCUACCACGGCAGG